Molecule: ribosomal RNA, 468 nt
Filed under: uncultured bacterium
Lineage: Bacteria
Description: partial 16S ribosomal RNA
Rfam family: Bacterial small subunit ribosomal RNA
Source: RNAcentral
GACGAACGCUGGCGGCGUGCUUAACACAUGCAAGUCGAACGGAAAGGCCCUGCUUUCGUGUGGUUUUCGAGUGGCGAACGUGUGAGUAACACGUGAGUAACCUUCCCUUUACUUUGUGAUAACUUCAGGAAACUGCUGCUAAUACCUGCUAGGAGCUCCUGCUGCAUGGUGGGGUUUGGAACGUUUCGGCGGUUGGGGAUGGACUCGCGGCUUAUCAGCUUGUUGGUGGGGUAGUGGCUUACCAAGCCUUUGGCGGGUAGCCGGCCUGAGAGGGUGACCGGCCACAUGGGGACUGAGAGAGGGAGCAGACGGGUACGGGGGGCAGUGGGGGGGAGUAUGGCACAGUGGGCGGGAGCGUGAGGAGGAAGCGCCGGGAGCGGGAUGAAGGCCUUGGGGUUGUAAACCGCAGUCGCCUGUGACGAAGCGGGAGUGACGGUAAUGGGUAAAGAAGCACCGGCUAACUACGUG